GUCCUCGUGGAGUAGGGUAACUCACUCCCACUUGUUGUGGUGCGAUUAUGGUAGCAAAUUUGUGGGAGGGUCGGUGGUUCGAAUCCACCCGGGGAUG
This is a non-coding RNA of Mycena capillaripes, 97 nucleotides long. Lineage: Eukaryota; Fungi; Basidiomycota; Agaricomycetes; Agaricales; Mycenaceae. The record is from the annotation of a GenBank genome assembly.